AUGAGCGGAUACACACUGGUGGUAAACGCCGCGGAGAAUUACUCAGCCGUGAACAGGAAGGAGCUCUGCGACCUGCUGCCACAUGGUCCAGCCUCCAAAGCACGCUGCUCAGUGGAAGGGACCAGGUGCACAAUGUCCAGCAAAGGAAAAGGCCAAGGGCAUCACAGAGGCACCGGCAUUGCCAUCAUUUGGCCGGCAACACCUUGAAGUCAGCCUUGAGCAGAGAACGGGGCCCACUCCGCCUGCACGUCUGUCCUGCACAGGAGGCGCGAACAAACAGGCGUUGUUUGUGGCGAUCUGUUACGCAGCGUUGCAAACAAAUAAAAAAGGGGAUCCUUUCACGUAGCCAUGGAGCUGGGAGGGAGCUCACAGAAGACCCAGCACCCCCACUUUCCCCAGAAAUCUCCCCUCUCCCCACCCCUCACCUCCGCCCCUCCCUGUAUAUCCAGAAACCUCUCCCCGCUGCCCUGCCCUACCUCAACUCCCGGCCGCUGCUCUAAUUCCCCUCCUUCCCCUACGAUACCUGCUCAGCAAAUAUGCCAUGUGACCGGGAGCUCUCCCGGCAAGAGGUAGAAAACAAGGCCAACCGAAGCUCUCAAGUGAAGGCCCGGUCAGAGCUGGAAAUACCAGGCGGAGCUGGCACGGGGAACGGCAGCCCCUUGCCAACGCCGUUGAAUGAGGUUCUUUAGCCUGGAACAAAGCCCUCCCUUUGAGGACUGACUGCCAACAGGGAGCGCUUUGUUGGGAGCGGAAUUUGAGAUGCCCGCUGGGAUGGGCAGGGGAGAAAGGUGACACCUGCAGGAGCGCCCUGUGUAAAUCCUGGAUCACAAGAACCAGCAUUUCCCCCCUUGUUGGCAAAUACGGACGCGUAUCGCGCUGACACGCCGCAGCCUCCAUCUGAUGCGCGGCCCGGGCCCUGGUCUCGAGUUUCCGGCAGGUGAUCCCUGCACAGAUACGCUCAGACAUCCGUGGGUCCUGCCAGGGGAACGGCCCCUUCUCACUCGUCAGCCCUUUAUGUUGUUAGAAGAAGGAAAAGCAAAUCCCAGUGUUGUUUCCUGAGGCGGAAAACUCAGAGGCGGGAAGGAAGCGUGGGUGACUCCAACUCGGGUGAGAGCUUGUUUAUAACACGCCCUGUGCCUCUCACUCCCUCUUUAGGGCCCGGGUCCCAUCUUACUCUGAAUAAACUCCAACGUCCUACU
Myotis brandtii (Brandt's bat) is the source of this 1199-nucleotide long non-coding RNA. RefSeq lists it as uncharacterized. Lineage: Eukaryota; Metazoa; Chordata; Mammalia; Chiroptera; Vespertilionidae. The transcript is spliced from 2 exons. The record is from RefSeq and is a predicted model, not a curated record.